RNAcentral lists this ribosomal RNA (254 nucleotides) under uncultured prokaryote. RNAcentral's name for it is "partial 16S ribosomal RNA". It matches the Rfam family "Bacterial small subunit ribosomal RNA", at positions 524 to 777 of the family's 1533-position model. The record is from RNAcentral.
UACGGAGGAUGCAAGCGUUAUCCGGAUUUAUUGGGUUUAAAGGGUGCGCAGGUUGUUUGAUAAGUCAGUGGUGAAAGUCUGUCGCUUAACGGUAGGAUUGCCAUUGAUACUGUUGGACUUGAAUAUGGAUGAGGUAGGCGGAAUGUGUAGUGUAGCGGUGAAAUGCAUAGAUAUUACACAGAACACCGAUUGCGAAGGCAGCUUACUAAUCCAUCAUUGACGCUGAGGCACGAAAACGUGGGGAUCAAACAGGA